This 622-nucleotide ribosomal RNA is filed under the name uncultured organism. RNAcentral describes it as "bacterial SSU rRNA". It matches the Rfam family "Bacterial small subunit ribosomal RNA", at positions 88 to 690 of the family's 1533-position model. The record is from RNAcentral.
UACUCGAGUGGCGAAAGGGCGAGGAAUACAUGGGCAACGUGCCUUAUGCACGAGGAUAACUGCGGGAAGCUGCAGUUAAUACUCGAUAAGACCACAGCAUCUUCGGAUGCAGCGGUCAAAGGUGGGGACCUUCGGGCCUACCGGCAUUAGAGCGACCCAUGUCCUAUCAGCUUGUUGGUGAGGUAACGGCUCACCAAGGCGACGACGGGUACCGGGACUGAGAGGUUGACCCGGCGCAUCGGGACUGAGACACUGCCCGGACUCCUACGGGAGGCUGCAGUAACGAAUAUUCCGCAAUGGGCGAAAGCCCUGACGGAGCGACGCCGCGUGUGGGAGGAAGCCCUUCGGGGUGUAAACCACUGUCAGGGAUUACCAAGCAAAGUUGGCGAAUAGCCUUCUGCGUUGAGGCGUCCCAGAGGAAGCCACGGGUAACUUCGUGCCAGCAGCCGCGGUAAUACGAAGGUGGCGAGCGUUGUCCGGAAUCACUGGGCUUAAAGGGCACGCAGGCGGACUGUCAAGCGUCUUGUGAAAGCCCCCGGCUUAACCGGGGAAUUGCUGGGCGAACUGGCAGUCUUGAGGCAGGUAAGGGCGAGUGGAACUCUUGGUGGAGCGGUGGAAUGCG